RNAcentral lists this non-coding RNA (28 nucleotides) under Homo sapiens (human). The record is from RNAcentral. Lineage: Eukaryota; Metazoa; Chordata; Mammalia; Primates; Hominidae.
ACUACUCGUAUAUGGGACAAGGUUCAGA